CAAAGUAUAGCUUAUUUAAAGCACUUGGCUUACACCCAAAAGAUAUUAUUAUUAAUAAUUACUUUGA
This 67-nucleotide transfer RNA is filed under the name Neohylomys hainanensis (Hainan gymnure). RNAcentral describes it as "tRNA-Val". It matches the Rfam family "tRNA". From Rfam's summary of the family: Transfer RNA (tRNA) molecules are approximately 80 nucleotides in length. Their secondary structure includes four short double-helical elements and three loops (D, anti-codon, and T loops). Lineage: Eukaryota; Metazoa; Chordata; Mammalia; Eulipotyphla; Erinaceidae. The record is from RNAcentral.